Molecule: ribosomal RNA, 302 nt
Filed under: uncultured bacterium
Lineage: Bacteria
Description: partial 16S ribosomal RNA
Rfam family: Bacterial small subunit ribosomal RNA
Source: RNAcentral
GCAGUAGCCGCGGGAACACAGAGGGUGCUAGCGUUAAUCGGAUUUACUGGGCGUAAAGCGUGCGUAGGCGGCUUUUUAAGUCGGAUGUGAAAUCCCUGAGCUUAACUUAGGAAUUGCAUUCGAUACUGGGAAGCUAGAGUAUGGGAGAGGAUGGUAGAAUUCCAGGUGUAGCGGUGAAAUGCGUAGAGAUCUGGAGGAAUACCGAUGGCGAAGGCAGCCAUCUGGCCUAAUACUGACGCUGAGGUACGAAAGCAUGGGGAGCAAACAGGAUUAGAUACCCCUGUAGUCCCUGUCUCUUAUAC